This 404-nucleotide ribosomal RNA is filed under the name uncultured bacterium. RNAcentral describes it as "bacterial SSU rRNA". It matches the Rfam family "Bacterial small subunit ribosomal RNA", at positions 355 to 774 of the family's 1533-position model. The record is from RNAcentral.
CUAAGAAUCUUGCGCAAUGGGCGAAAGCCUGACGCAGCAAUUCCGCGUGGGGGACGAAGGCCCUCGGGCCGUAAACCCCUUUUGUGAGGGAAGAAGUUCUGACGGUACCUCACGAAUAAGACACGGCUAACUACGUGCCAGCAGCCGCGGUAAUACGUAGGUGUCGAGCGUUGUCCGGAUUUAUUGAGCGUAAAGAGCCCGCAGGCGGCUUGGUAAGUUCGAGGUGAAAUCUCCCGGCUCAACUGGGAGGGUGCCUCGAAAACUAUCAGGCUUGAGGCAGGGAGAGGGAUGUGGAAUUCCCGGUGUAGUGGUGAAAUGCGUAGAUAUCGGGAGGAACAUCUGUGGCGAAGGCGACUGCCUGGACCAGCACUGACACUGAGGCACGAAAGCGUGGGGAGCAAACA